RNAcentral lists this ribosomal RNA (2841 nucleotides) under human gut metagenome. RNAcentral's name for it is "bacterial LSU rRNA". It matches the Rfam family "Bacterial large subunit ribosomal RNA", at positions 14 to 2503 of the family's 2925-position model. The record is from RNAcentral.
AGGGCGUAUGGUGGAUGCCUUGGCAGACAGGACCGAUGAAGGACGUUUGAGGCUGCGAUAUGCCUCGGGGAGCCGCCAACAGGGCUUUGAUCCGAGGAUUUCCGAAUGGGGGAACCCACCGACCGUCAUGGGUCGGUACCGGCUUCGGCCGGGGGGUACGCAGGGAAGUGAAACAUCUCAGUACCUGCAGGAAAGGAUAUUCCGUGAGUAGUGGCGAGCGAAAGCGGAUGAUGGCCAAACCUUGCGCGUGUGAUACCCGUCGGGGGUUGCGCGCGGGGUGUUGCGGGAUCGCGUGCGCCGGCUCCGACGGGCCGGCCGGCAGUUGCAGAAAACCAUGUGUCAGGGGAACCGGGUUGAAUACCGGGCCGCAGAGGGUGAGGGCCCCGUACCUGAACGCGCAUGGUCUGCCGAUCGCGUCUCCCAAGUAGCACGGGUCCCGUGGAACCCCGUGCGAAUCCGCCCAGACCGUUGGGUAAGCCUGAAUAUUCCUGUCUGACCGAUAGCGAACGAGUACCGUGAGGGAAAGGUGAAAAGUACCCCGGGAGGGGAGUGAAACAGUCUCUGAAACCGUGCGCCUACAAUCCGUCGGAGCCCUUUUGUGGGGUGACGGCGUGCCUAUCGAAAAAUGAGUCUGCGAGUCAGUGGCAUGUGGCGAGCAUAACCCGUGUGGGGUAUGCGUAGCGAAGGCGAGUCUUAAAAGGCGUUUGAGUCGCGUGUCCUGGACCCGAAGCGGGAUGAUCUAGCCCUGAGCAGGUUGAAGCGCGGGUAAGACCGCGUGGAGGACCGAACCCACCUGGGUUGAAAACCGGGGGGAUGACUUGGGGCUAGGGGUGAAAGGCCAAUCAAAUUCCGUGAUAGCUGGUUCUCUCCGAAAUGCAUUUGGGUGCAGCGUCGGGUCAUUACGUCCCGGGGGUAGAGCUACUGGAUGCUUGCGGGCCCGUAUCGGGUACCAACAGCAACCAAACUCCGAAUACCGGUGACGCGUAUCCCGGCAGUGAGUCGGCGGGGGAUAAGCUUCGUCGUCGAAAGGGAAACAGCCCAGACCGUCGUCUAAGGUCCCGAAGCGUGUGCUAAGUGGGAAAGGAUGUGGAGUCGCAUAGACAGCCAGGAGGUUGGCUCAGAAGCAGCCAUCCUUGAAAGAGUGCGUAACAGCUCACUGGUCUAGUGGUUCCGCGCCGACAAUGUAGCGGGGCUCAAGCACACCACCGAAGACGCGGCAGUAUUUUGUACUGGGUAGGAGAGCGUCCCAUGAGGGGCGAAGCGGCCGUGUGAACGCGCCGUGGACUUCAUGGGAGUGAGAAUGCAGACAUGAGUAGCGAGAGACGGGUGAAGAUCCCGUCCGCUGGAUGACCAAGGGUUCCAGGGCCACGUUCAUCGUCCCUGGGUGAGUCGGGUCCUAAGGCGAGGCCGACAGGCGUAGUCGAAUGGAUGAACGGGUCGAUAUUCCCGUACCGGCUUUCAGCCGCCAAAACCGAGGCUUGGAGUACUAACCUCCGGGUCCGGGCUUACUGCUCCUUCGGGGGCGGGAUGCCCUGGCCUGUUGGGACCGAUCCUUGUAGUAGGUCAGCGCAGGAGUGACGCAGAAGGGUAGCCGGCCGCGGAGGUGGUCUUCCGUGGUCAAGCACGCAGGGCGUGGGACAGGCAAAUCCGUCCCGCAUGGGUCCGAGGUGCGAUGAUGGGGGCCUUAUGGCCCGAUAUCCGGUGAUCCCGGCUGCCGAGAAAAGCUUCGGCGUCAGGCUCAAAGCCGCCCGUACCCCAAACCGACACUGGUGGUCAGGUAGAGAAUACCAAAGCGAUCGAGCGAAUCCUGGUCAAGGAACUCGGCAAAUCACUCCCGUUCCUUCGGUUUAAGGGAGACCCCCGAUGGUGAACACACUUGCUGUGGGAGCUUUUGGGGGUGGCACAGACCAGGGGGUAGCGACUGUUUACCAAAAACACAGGUGCAUGCGAAGGCGCAAGCCGCUGUAUAUGCACUGACGCCUGCCCGGUGCCGGAAGGUUAAGAGGAUCCGUCAGCCUUCGGGUGAAGCGGUGAAUUCAAGCCCCGGUAAACGGCGGUGGUAACUAUAACCAUCCUAAGGUAGCGAAAUUCCUUGUCGGGUAAGUUCCGACCUGCACGAAUGGCGUAACGACUUCCCCACUGUCUCGACCAGGAGCUCGGCGAAAUUGCAGUACGAGUAAAGAUGCUCGUUAAGCGCAGAAGGACGAAAAGACCCCGGGACCUUUACUAUACCUUGGUAUUGGCAUUCGGUGUGGAUUGUGUAGCAUAGGCGGGAGGCCGAGAGGCGCGGUCGCCAGAUCGCGCGGAGCCGUAAGGUGAAAUACCGCUCUGUUCGCAUUGGAUGUCUAACCUCGAACAGUCAUCCUGUUCAGGGACAGUGCCUGGCGGGUAGUUUAACUGGGGCGGUUGCCUCCCAAAGAGUAACGGAGGCGCCCAAAGGUCCGCUCAGCCCGGUUGGCAAUCGGGUGGCGAGUGCAAGUGCACAAGCGGGCUUGACUGCGAGGACGACGGUCCGAGCAGGGACGAAAGUCGGGACUAGUGAUCCGGUGCUAUGUGAUCUUUGAGAAGUUUUUCAAGGAUAAGCUUCUGAAGAAGCUGGGUAAGGGGUGCUGUGAGGACGAGUGUGCCGGUCUUGCCGAUGAGGUCGAGGAUGCGGAUGACACUGCCGAGUGCCAGGUCGUAGAGCCUGCCGCCGAGGAAGUCCCGGCAGACGAGGCGUAAUCGGUCGUGUCCGACAGCCAUCUCGGACCGGAUUCCGUUUUCGCUGGUGCAAUGCCGCCCAAUGACGGCAACACAGAAGAUGGGUAGGGGGAAACCGGUUGCGGUUUCCCCCUUGCUUGU